GAAAUUUUCUCGAUAAAAAAUGGGCAAUAGAUUUAUUAAUAUUAAUGUAAAAAAAUUAUUUAUAAUAGGUUUAUUGAAAUGAAACGUUAUUCGUAUUUUUUUAUAUCUAGUUUUUUAAGAAAUAAGUUGAAUUUACUUAUUAAUAUUUAAUUUUUUGAGUUAUUAAUUAAUUAAUAGUUAAUAUGGUAUUUUAUUGGGGAUAAGCUCAGUAAAAAAUGAUUAAGUUAUUUAUUAUUAAAUAUUUAGUGGGAAUAGAGGUUUCUAUCUAUUAUAGUGUGUUAUUACAAGUUAUUUAUAUAAUAAGAUUUUUAUUAUAAUUAAUUGAUUUAUUAGAAUAGUUAAUAUAAUUUAGAAUUUAAUGAAAUAAUGAUUAAAUUAGUAUAUAAAUUAGUUAUAUAAAUUAGGUGGAUAGGUAUAAUGAAAGGAAUUCGGCAAAGGGGUUUUCGCCUGUUUAUUAAAAACAUGGUCUUUUGAUUAUAAUUUAAGAUUUGACCUGCCCAAUGAGGAGUUGAAUGGCUGCAGUAUUUUGACUGUACAAAGGUAGCAUAAUAAUUAGUUUUUUAAUUGAGGACUGGAAUGAAGGGUUGGACGAGAAAUUAGCUGUCUUUAUUAUAAUUAGGUAGAAUUUUAUUUUUAAGUAAAAAAGCUUAAAUAGGUUUAAAAGACGAGAAGACCCUAUAGAACUUUAUAUUUUUUAUAUUAAUAUGAAUAUUAGUAAUUAAUUUUAUUAAUAUGAAAAGUAUUAUGUUGGGGUGAUAGAAAAAUUGAUUUAACUUUUUUAUAUUAAUUAUACUAAUAAGUAUUUACUUGAUCCAUUUAUUGUGAUUAUUAGAUUAAGUUACCUUAGGGAUAACAGCGUAAUCCUUUUUGAGAGUUCUUAUUGAGAGAAGGGGUUGCGACCUCGAUGUUGGAUUAAAUUAAAUUAUAGGUGUAGAAGCUUGAUAAUUUGGUCUGUUCG
RNAcentral lists this ribosomal RNA (958 nucleotides) under Comacupes stoliczkae. RNAcentral describes it as "partial 16S ribosomal RNA". The stretch from base 441 to 596 matches the Rfam family "Archaeal large subunit ribosomal RNA", at positions 1885 to 2088 of the family's 2987-position model. The record is from RNAcentral. Lineage: Eukaryota; Metazoa; Arthropoda; Insecta; Coleoptera; Passalidae.